RNAcentral lists this ribosomal RNA (959 nucleotides) under Agaricus sp. RNAcentral describes it as "eukaryotic LSU rRNA". It matches the Rfam family "Eukaryotic large subunit ribosomal RNA", at positions 31 to 978 of the family's 3401-position model. Lineage: Eukaryota; Fungi; Basidiomycota; Agaricomycetes; Agaricales; Agaricaceae. The record is from RNAcentral.
GAACUAAGCAUAUCAAUAAGCGGAGGAAAAGAAACUAACAAGGAUUCCCCUAGUAACUGCGAGUGAAGCGGGAAAAGCUCAAAUUUAAAAUCUGGCAGUCUCUGGCUGUCCGAGUUGUAAUCUAGAGAAGUAAUGCCCGUGCUGGACCGUGUAUAAGUCUCCUGGGAUGGGGCGUCAUAGAGGGUGAGAAUCCCGUCUUUGACACGGACUACCAGUGCAUUGUGGUAUGCUCUCAAAGAGUCGAGUUGUUUGGGAAUGCAGCUCAAAAUGGGUGGUAAAUUCCAUCUAAAGCUAAAUAUUGGCGAGAGACCGAUAGCGAACAAGUACCGUGAGGGAAAGAUGAAAAGAACUUUGGAAAGAGAGUUAAACAGUACGUGAAAUUGCUGAAAGGGAAACGCUUGAAGUCAGUCGCGUUGGCCGGGAAUCAGCCUUGCUUCUGCAUGGUGUACUUUCUGGUUGACGGGUCAGCAUCAAUUUUGACCGCUGGAAAAAGGCCUGGGGAAUGUGGCAGCUUCGGCUGUGUUAUAGCCCCUAGUUGCAUACAGUGGUUGGGAUUGAGGAACUCAGCACGCCGCAAGGCCGGGUUUCGACCACGUUCGUGCUUAGGAUGCUGGCAUAAUGGCUUUAAGCGACCCGUCUUGAAACACGGACCAAGGAGUCUAACAUGCCUGCGAGUAUUUGGGUGGAAAACUCAAGUGCGUAAUGAAAGUGAAAGUUGAGAUCCCUGUCGUGGGGAGCAUCGACGCCCGGACCAGAACUUUUGGGACGGAUCCGCGGUGGAGCAUGUAUGUUGGGACCCGAAAGAUGGUGAACUAUGCCUGAAUAGGGUGAAGCCAGAGGAAACUCUGGUGGAGGCUCGUAGCGAUUCUGACGUGCAAAUCGAUCGUCAAAUUUGGGUAUAGGGGCGAAAGACUAAUCGAACCAUCUAGUAGCUGGUUCCUGCCGAAUUCCCCUCCGGA